UGCAGUCGAACGAAGUAGCAAUACUUAGUGGCAGACGGGUGAGUAACAUGUGGGUAUCUACCCUUUGGCCUGGAAUAACACGAGGAAACUUGUGCUAAUACCGGAUAAGUCUUUACGGAGAAAGCUUUAUGCACCAUUGGAUGAGCCUGCACUUGAUUAGUUUGUUGGUGGGGUAAUGGCCUACCAAGGCUUUGAUCAAUAGCUGAUUUGAGAGGAUGAUCAGCCACAUUGGGACUGAGACACGGCCCAAACUCCUACGGGAGGCAGCAGUGGGGAAUCUUGCACAAUGGAGGAAACUCUGAUGCAGCGAUGCCGCGUGAGUGAAGAAGGCCUUUGGGUUGUAAAGCUCUUUCGUCGGGGAAGAAAAUGACUGUACCCGAAUAAGAAGGUCCGGCUAACUUCGUGCCAGCAGCCGCGGUAAUACGAAGGGACCUAGCGUAGUUCGGAAUUACUGGGCUUAAAGAGUUCGUAGGUGGUUGAAAAAGUUGGUGGUGAAAUCCCAGAGCUUAACUCUGGAACUGCCAUCAAAACUUUUCAGCUAGAGUAUGAUAGAGGAAAGCAGAAUUUCUAGUGUAGAGGUGAAAUUCGUAGAUAUUAGAAAGAAUACCAAUUGCGAGGGCAGCUUUCUGGAUCAUUACUGACACUGAGGAACGAAAGCAUGGGUAGCGAAGAGGAUUAGAUACCCUCGUAGUCCAUGCCGUAAACGAUGUGUGUUAGACGUUGGAAAUUUAUUUUCAGUGUCGCAGCGAAAGCGAUAAACACACCGCCUGGGGAGUACGACCGCAAGGUUAAAACUCAAAUGAAUUGACGGGGACCCGCACAAGUAGUGGAGCAUGUGGUUU
RNAcentral lists this ribosomal RNA (842 nucleotides) under uncultured marine bacterium. RNAcentral's name for it is "bacterial SSU rRNA". It matches the Rfam family "Bacterial small subunit ribosomal RNA", at positions 56 to 947 of the family's 1533-position model. The record is from RNAcentral.